AAAACAGUAGGGGUUUUGGAAAGUGGUCGUUCUGAGAACAAUGACACUGGUGCACGCGUGCAUGUGAAGACUCCAUUUUCUAUUUUCAGUGUUUGAACGAAAACAAGGUCUUCCGGUUGGAAUAUUAUCGCUAUUUUACGAGAAAAAUCGCAUAAAAAUUGAUUUUAAACAGCGUUUGACAUGCUUCGAAGUACGGUAUUGGAAUAUUUUGAAUUUUUUUGUCACGAUAUGCGCCGGCACUUCACCCUUCAGAUAGUGUCUCGAACGCAAGAACAAAACGCAGCUAUUUGGAUAUAACUGUGGAUUAUUUGGAACCAAAACAACAUUGGGUGUUGAAGUAGAAGUCCUGGGAGUGCAUUCUGAUGAAGAACAGCAAAGGGGAAGACUGGACAGAGCCUGGUAGACCCCCACCUGUUCCGGUCUUUUGAUUCCAGAUCCAGUUGGGACCUGGAGAGAGCGACAGAUCCACGCAACAUGCUAACUCACAGG
Molecule: long non-coding RNA, 489 nt
Filed under: Salmo salar (Atlantic salmon)
Lineage: Eukaryota; Metazoa; Chordata; Actinopteri; Salmoniformes; Salmonidae
Description: lncRNA (ENSSSAG00000088072.1)
Source: RNAcentral